ACUCCUUUAUCAUCUAUAGAUCUACAUUUCCCCUGUCCUUUCUCCGCUGUUACAGCUUUUUUUUCUCAAUCUUCUUGGUUUCAUCUAGCCCUGCACUGCAUUUGUCACACUUUUUUUGAAAAUCUACUGUAUGUCAAAGUGUCUUUCUAGUAAUACAGAUAGCCCUCACUCAUACCUUUAGUGUGGUUUCUGUAGUCAUAUAGAGCAACAUUGCUUUAUGGAAAUGAACUUGAAUCUGCGGGGGGCGGGGGUGGAAAAUCACAUGUGUUUCACACCUACAUGUCUGCAAGGCGCCACUGGAGUAUUCUUUUUGACUAAAUCUCAGAGGGGUGCUGAGUGAGUACCUGCCAAAGGCAUGGGUUGGUAAGGAGACUCAGUUAGGCUCUGUGCAAUCAAAUGCAGCCAGCUUGGUUUGUGUGUGAAAGGACUGGGUUUUCCCCAGGCUGUUGGUAAUGAUGC
Molecule: long non-coding RNA, 459 nt
Filed under: Bos taurus (domestic cattle)
Lineage: Eukaryota; Metazoa; Chordata; Mammalia; Artiodactyla; Bovidae
Description: long non-coding RNA NONBTAT031385
Source: RNAcentral